RNAcentral lists this long non-coding RNA (656 nucleotides) under Olea europaea subsp. europaea. The record is from RNAcentral. Lineage: Eukaryota; Viridiplantae; Streptophyta; Magnoliopsida; Lamiales; Oleaceae.
UUAUUAUUAAAAUAUAUAAUUAAAACCUGAUUUAUGCUUAAUUAAACUUUGUACAUGGUUCUUUAAAAGUGGUCUUUAAAGACCUGCUCCCAUGUAAUUUUCCACUCAGUGGAAAUUACGCCCAAUACAUACAAUAUAAUUUUUUACAUUUACGUUGAUUUUGGGGUCUUAAUUUUUGAACUUCGUCUUGGGCCCCAACAAUCACAAGACUGACCCCUCAACUCAAAAAUGGAUUCCACUCUUUACUCCAACAUGGAAAAAGAGACCCAUUAAUCCUUCAAAUUGCAGAACCCUCUUCACCAUCUCCACACAACUAUUUUGUAUAGUUUUCUUCAUCUCCUUCAAAUCCCUAUUUGCCCCUUCAAUCCUUCAAAUCUCUACAAAUUUUCGAUCACAUCCCUCCUUACAAUACACUGUCAUCAACUUUAGCGGGUCACCGAAAAAGUUCCUUUGGUACGCGCCGUGCAGUGGAUUCAACAACCAGCUAUAUGAAUUCAAGAACGCGAUCUACUGGCUGCGAUUUCGAAUCGAACAUUAAUCAUUCCUACUGUACUGGAUGGAGCCGAUUUUAAGCCAAGCCAGGUGAAGCUCAUGCCUCAGGCCCAAAAAUUUAAGGGCCUAAUUUUAUUUUUUUUAAGACCCUAAUUCCUAAUUCU